GCCGGGCGUGGUGGUGCGCGCCUGUAAUCCCUGCCACUUGGGAGGCUGAGGCAGGAGAAUUGCUUGAACCCGGGAGGCAGAGGUUGCAGUGAGCUGAGAUUGUGCCACUGCACUCUAACCUGGGCAACAGAGCAAGACUCUGUCUCAA
RNAcentral lists this signal recognition particle RNA (148 nucleotides) under Gorilla gorilla gorilla (western lowland gorilla). RNAcentral describes it as "Metazoan signal recognition particle RNA". It matches the Rfam family "Metazoan signal recognition particle RNA". From Rfam's summary of the family: The signal recognition particle (SRP) is a universally conserved ribonucleoprotein. It is involved in the co-translational targeting of proteins to membranes. Lineage: Eukaryota; Metazoa; Chordata; Mammalia; Primates; Hominidae. The record is from Rfam by way of RNAcentral.